UUGCGGUUAAAACGCUCGUAGUUGGAUAUUUGUUGGAGAGCGCCGGUCCACCCAAGUGGUGCGUACUUGGUGCUUCUUUGACAUCUUACUGGAGAACGUACGUGCGCUUCGCUGCGUGUGUGCAUGAACCAGAACUUUUACUUUGAGGAAAUGAGAGUGUUUCAAGCAGGCCAUUGCCAUGAAUACGUUAGCAUGGAAUAAUAACAUAGGACCUUGAGUCGUUGUUGUUGGUUGACGACACAAGGUAAUAAAAUUAGGGAUAGUUGGGGGCAUUCGUAUUACAAUGUCAGAGGUGAAAUUCUUGGAUUAUUGUACGACGGACUACUGCGAAAGCAUUUGCCAAGGAUGUUUUUUUUAAUCAAGAACGAAAGUUAGGGGAUCGAAGACGAUCAGAUACCGUCGUAGUCCUGACCAUAAACUAUGCCGACUAGAGGUUGGAGGAUGUUCAUUUUAGUCUCCUUCAGCAGCUUGAGAGAAAUCAAAGUCUUUGGGUUCCGGGGGGAGUAUGGUCGCAAGGCUGAAACUUAAAGGAAUUGACGGAAGGGCACCACCAGGAGUGGAGCCUGCGGCUAAAUUUGACUCAACACGGGGAAACUUACCAGGUCCAGACAUAGGAAGGAUUGACAGAUUGAUAGCUCUU
RNAcentral lists this ribosomal RNA (640 nucleotides) under uncultured marine eukaryote. Its description in RNAcentral is "SSU rRNA". It matches the Rfam family "Eukaryotic small subunit ribosomal RNA", at positions 613 to 1259 of the family's 1831-position model. The record is from RNAcentral.